Long non-coding RNA from Octopus sinensis (East Asian common octopus), 101 nucleotides. RefSeq lists it as uncharacterized. The record is from RefSeq and is a predicted model, not a curated record. The transcript has 3 exons. NCBI's taxonomy places the organism in Eukaryota, Metazoa, Mollusca, Cephalopoda, Octopoda, Octopodidae.
UUGUUGGAGAGAGUGAACAUGAAUAUUUCUAUAUAAUAGUACAUAAGAUUUUAUACACAAAGAGAGAUUAACUAUGUGGAUUUCUUACAUGCUAGAAAGGG